Molecule: long non-coding RNA, 1236 nt
Organism: Perognathus longimembris pacificus (Pacific pocket mouse)
Lineage: Eukaryota; Metazoa; Chordata; Mammalia; Rodentia; Heteromyidae
Exons: 3
Source: RefSeq, a predicted model, not a curated record
GUUAUUGUAAAUUAAUCUAAGAGAACAUUCAAAUAUAACUCCUUCAUAUGUGUAUGUUUAGCUUUAUAUGAAAGCUUUACAUUUCAUUCUGCUGCCAACUUUUAUACAGCACAAACUCUGAAUUAAAAUUUAAAAAAUCCCAUCAAUUAUUGAUGCUAUUGAGUGACACAAAUCAAUGACCAAAGGAAGAGUCUCUAAAUCUGUUAAUAUUGAUAAUCAAUUGUGUAUGUCCACAUACACAUAAAUAAUGUAUGGGUACUUUAGGAUAGGGAGAAUAGAGCUCACAGACUGUUGCUUGAGGGAGCUAAGUUAUGCUGAUUCACAAAUGAUUCUGAUCAACUGUUAUUAAUGGUAAAGCAAAGUGUUUCUGACCCUGGCCAUUCAAAGUGUAGUCCAUAGACCUGCAGAAGUAGACUCAGCUGGGCAGGUGGUAGAGUGAAGAAUAUCAGCCCCUCCCUGUGAUACACUAAGGAUCUGUGUUGUAGCCAGGUGAUCUGUGUGUUUGAGAAGCACUUCCAGAAAGCAGGAAAGGAACUGGAUCCUACCAGGAGAAUCUGUAUUGCAUUGAAAGUAGCUUUUGAGGGGCACUAGAAGCUCAUUCAAAAUCCUAGGCUACUAGGGGCUUUAGGAAAAAAAAAAUUAGGAAAAAUUUCCCUCACCAUUCCAAGGACUAUUUGUGGUUCAUCUAUAAACUCCUUGGCCACUUUUCUUCCUGUUUUAUUUGAAAUUGCAUUUAUCCAUUUACUUUUAGGAUCACUAUGAUGCCACUGGUGUUUUCAAGAAGAAAUACGUAGGACACCUCUCUUCCUUCCUGCUAUACCUACACCAUAUGUACCUCAUUUAGACCUCCUUGUACUCAUUCACUUACCAGUGCCAAAUGAAUCACCCAUCAAACACAACAGUAAUUCCAAUUAAUGCAAUAAAAAUUACAGUAAAAAUUGCUAGAGAAGGUAAAUGUCCACUGCAUUUAGACAAAGUAUGGUCUUAUUUACCGUAUUAUGAAAAACAAAAGCUUUAGAAACUGGUCAAAUGUCAUCUUGCUAAUAAGUGGCAGUUUUUCAAAUAAAAAAUAAGAAUAAAAUAAAUAAGUGAAGAGUUUGGGCACCUGAUGGCACUUUUAUGCAGAUUCUCCUCGAGAACAAUUCCUAUCUCAUCCUGAGGCACAACAGUAUUUAUUCAAUGAGCAAAUAGAUAAGUCAAUAAAGGAAUGAAUUCAUAAAUACUGUUAACUCCACU